This 507-nucleotide ribosomal RNA is filed under the name Pseudomonas sp. RNAcentral's name for it is "bacterial SSU rRNA". It matches the Rfam family "Bacterial small subunit ribosomal RNA", at positions 72 to 575 of the family's 1533-position model. The record is from RNAcentral. Lineage: Bacteria; Pseudomonadati; Pseudomonadota; Gammaproteobacteria; Pseudomonadales; Pseudomonadaceae.
AGAGAAGCUUGCUUCUCUUGAGAGCGGCGGACGGGUGAGUAAUGCCUAGGAAUCUGCCUGGUAGUGGGGGAUAACGUUCGGAAACGGACGCUAAUACCGCAUACGUCCUACGGGAGAAAGCAGGGGACCUUCGGGCCUUGCGCUAUCAGAUGAGCCUAGGUCGGAUUAGCUAGUUGGUGAGGUAAUGGCUCACCAAGGCGACGAUCCGUAACUGGUCUGAGAGGAUGAUCAGUCACACUGGAACUGAGACACGGUCCAGACUCCUACGGGAGGCAGCAGUGGGGAAUAUUGGACAAUGGGCGAAAGCCUGAUCCAGCCAUGCCGCGUGUGUGAAGAAGGUCUUCGGAUUGUAAAGCACUUUAAGUUGGGAGGAAGAGCAGUUACCUAAUACGUGAUUGUUUUGACGUUACCGACAGAAUAAGCACCGGCUAACUCUGUGCCAGCAGCCGCGGUAAUACAGAGGGUGCAAGCGUUAAUCGGAAUUACUGGGCGUAAAGCGCGCGUAGG